CUGUAUAGAAUUCCCCAUGAGCUACAUUUAAGACUGGAUAAAUGUACUUGACGGUAUUUUAUUUUUCUUUUGAAGAUGUUCUCGGCUGAUUAGGCCUUGCGACUGAUAACCAGCUGAGCAGGGCAAUUCUAUAAAGCCUUAAUUGGACUGUGGGAGAAAGUGAGGUGGCUUCUCCUUUAGGAUAGAGGCCCCUAGGUCUGCAAAAACUUUUAAAAGUGAGCCCCUUAAGUUUGUCUAAAAUAACAAACUUCAAUUAAGCUGGUGGUUGGUUGCAAGUAGACCAUCUAUGGAAAAAUACUUUACAUCUGAACUUGUUAAUCCAUCUAAUCGAUUUUUAUAUUCAAAGUUAUUCUGUAAAUAACUUGUAAGAAACAACUGCUUUUUGUCCUAAUCAACUUUUUAUUUCUUGCAUUUUCUUGAAUAUUCUUUGAUUCAGAAUACUCCUAAAAUAGGUGUCAGGUACUCAUUCUACUCUUCCUUUGUAUUAAGAGUUUCUGAACAUUUUAACAGUUAAAAACAGUUAUUUUACCUUGAUAUGAAUUUAAAUAGAGCUUUGAUGUCAGGGGCUUUAUGUUCUUUGCUUGAAAUAUUUUUUUUUUCUUUAAAAAGAAUAGUGUAUUUUCUUUUAAACUUGUUUUGAUUUUUUUUUUUUCAGUUCAGGUCAAACAUGCAUUUAUGGCAUAAUCUGAUUUUCAGGGCUCUGAAUGCUGUUUGUUGAUGCUGAAGUUAAAAGCAUAAGGUAAAUUGCUAUUACAGAUGUCUUUGUGUGCAAGUUCUCUAGGAGUUCAGACUUAUUCCUUGUAUUGUUGGCUAGACAAAGGACAAAGGACUUUGCACGAGGAAAGGAAAUGACUGAGUUCUGCAAUGAAUAUCCAUAUUAGGUAUAAACUAAAUAUAGGAGUGUAAUCCAGGAGUGAAGUCACAUCUGUAUAUUUUCAUGAGAAGAGCUGAUGAGAUCAGUCAGUGCUACUGGAUCAGCUUCAGAGUGUUUUGGCUCUGUUAAAGAAUUACUCUUUUGGCUAGACUUUGGUCUGUAUUUUGGAGAGCUGCUAUUUUUAAAUAAAGGAAAUAGUUUUUUACGUGUUUUUGUCUAAAAAUAAAAUGAAAGCAUAAGUACAUUUCUGUAGUCUUUCAAAAUCAUGUUUUAUCUGCCCUCGUGAGACAUGCUGUACUGGAUCUUAAUGAGGUAAGGCAACAUAUCCCAAAGGAGGAAGUUCUGCUCUGCGAAUGAAGACCUUGGAUGCCACUUCCAGAGUGGUGUAUAAUACAUUCAUAGAGGUGCCUUUUAGUAAGUGAAUUGCUCAGUGCUUGCACUGGCACAAGAAGCAGCAGAGGACAAGCCUCCCGUGGAACCUUCGUGUUCUAGUAGCUAUAGAAUAAAAAUUCCAACACCAAUUUUGGUCUAAGUGAAUGGUUUUCCUUGAUAGAGCUUUGAAUGUGCUGUUAGCAGGGGGUGCAGGUUCAAAACAGCAGCUCUGCUUCAGUGAGUUUUGAGAAUUCAAGCAUUUUUUUCUAUUUACACACAGUUCUUCCACAGACAUUGCUGUUGAUUUCAGAUUUGGAGGCAGUUGUGCUUAGCUGUGUUAUUUUUUUUUCAGAAUUUUGAAACUUUGGGUGAGCACUUGUGUAUCGAGGUGGGACUCGUUUGGGCAUUCAGUGCUGGAUCUGCUGGGGGCAUCCUGCCCAGCUGGCGGCACCUCCUUGCUCCAAGAACUUGGCUGUAGACUACCAUAAACGAGGCACUUUGUUUUGUCCCAUGCAAGUGAUGUGUGUUUGAAGGAUUAUUUGAAGAAUUAUUAAAUUUUUAAAAUUGCACUCAGUCUUCUGAACCCCAGUGACCCAGGUUUGCUGUUCUUUUCUCUAAUUUUUUCCUCUAAUUUUCCUCAGUGUUUGGUGGGGGAGAUCUUGGAAACGGGCCCCUUGGGGUGUAGCUGAACCACACACUUAAUUAACAAAUUUAAUAAGCUAGGAGACAAAAGAAACAUGUUGUGCUGAAUGGUUAACAGCAUACUCACCUUUCCUACUCUACAAUUGCAAGAAUGUGUCAAGUUGUGACUUAGCUGAUUUCAGUGAGUUUGGACAUAUUUAUGUUACAACUGAAUCACUUUGUUGAAGGUAUUGCCAUUGGAGUAGAAGGUUAGAAGAGAUGAGCUGUGAGGCUUCUGCCAUUGUUUAAUAACUUUAAUUUUCCUUAUAUCAGGCUAGGAGAAAGCCAUGCAUCUGGCUAUUCACAGUAAUACCAAGUUUUUGUAUUCAUAACAUUAAGCAAAUUUCUCCAUUGAAGAAAAUGGUGGUUAGUAUUUAAUGCAGGUUUCGAUCUGACUGUUUAUCCAAUUCUCCCAAAGGAUGAAUGUGGGAUAAUGUCUUUUCUCCAAAGAAAUAGAAGGGCUUAAUUUCUACUGAAUUACGAAGUUAUUUUAAUACAUCAUGAAAAUCCCAUAGCUUUUUCCAAAAGCUUUAUGCUGAAAAUUAGCUAGCAAUAAACAAGAGCUGCAUGAAACUGUAUGAGACAAAUCUCUUAAGUAUUUUGAUAGGAACAGCAUCACAGGGUUAAAUACAGCAUCAUCCUAAAAUGGUCAGUUGUUGCUACAGUCAAACAUCUAACACAGCAGUGGCUAAUUGGAAAGGUGAUGACUUAAGAGGCUGCUUGAAUGGGCUGAUAAACAUUCCUUUCCCUGGUUUAAUAGUCAGAUCUCAAGCACUUACUGGGAGUUCAAUUCAUUUACUUAUUUUUUUAAAAGCUUUUUGAGUUUACAGGAACAUCAGCUGAAGUGGAAGUUGGAUCAAUUACAAAUUAGGUAAAGAAGAUGCGGCUUGUCCAGAGGCAGCAGUAGCUAAGGUUGCUUUUUCCCCAGGUUGGGGUAGGUGUCAAUCACCACAUAGAAAAUAUAGGUUAAUCGUCUUAGGCUUUUUGUAUUUACAGCUAAUUCCAGGUAUGAGCACUGGACUUGUGUUUUCUUUUUUCCCUAUGCUUUUCUUAGGACUCCAACUAUUUAAGAUAACAAUGAUUAUCUAAAUUGUUCUUUAGCACUAACUACUUUUCUGGUGAUCUAAGAGUUUAAACCUAAGUUGAUAUAGUGCUACCAAGCUCUAAGUUCCCUUCUAGAGGUCAAAUAAGGGCUUGCACAAAUCAAUAUAGUUCAUGUAGGGAUAAGGCUGUGAUAUAGGCACCUGAAGCUUAAUUUGAUGCUUUCUGAGGUCAUCUGGCCUGUUUGUAAAUGGAUGUACAUUCUUUUCGUACAAGGUACUUUCCUGUUUUAGGUGUUGAAGGUAGAGGCAAGUUAAGCACACACCUUAUAAAAAUAGUUACUUUCUGAGUUCAAAAGCAGUUGACUUAGGAUGAAGGUUAGUUAAUGAUGGAUUUGGAGAGCAAGAUUAUCUAGAAAAAGGCAUGAUGCAGUGGUAGUGUCCGGUAAUGUAGUAGGCUUGUGAUGAACAGAAGUGAAUUUGAACUAAUGGCUAUGUAACUUGUCAAACUGCUGACCUUUGAGGUAAUGAGAAUGAUGCUGGAUGUUUUAUUUACAAUCUUCUGAGCAUCAUAAAAGAAUUGUAGGAGUCAGCAUGCUUGUCAGAGAUGUUAAAUCAUGUAAAUAAAUAAUCAACAAUUACAUUAAAAAAAAAAAAAAAAAAAACGCAAGAGGAUAUUCUUGCAAUGUUUGUGAAGUGUUCGUUGCUUGAGCACCCUUUGAUAUGUCUGGUGUGAGAAGGGACCGUGCUGCAAGGACUUGUCCAAGGCUGCCCCAUGGUUUGUUUGUAGCUGAUGCUGGUUGGUUGGUUAUUUGAAUAAUAGACCCUGAGAAUUUGUUUUCAGCUGCUAGUACGCCUAUCCUUAUAGUACCGUUCUUCAACUUUUCCAUGUUAAGGUCUUCUUUUCAGCACUCUGUUUUACGCUUCCCAGGAAAGCUGCAUUUGAAAGAAAGGACUCCCGUAGCAGCAGGCUGUGUACCUGGAAACAAUCUUCAGCACUUAAGUUAGAGUAAGGUUUAGUUGAUCACUUUCAGUGCUGCUAAGAUGAUGAAAAUGAGUAUUUGGAUUUCUUGUGCAUCACAAGCAAUGAUUCACUGCUGCCACUAGCUAUAUUUUUCCAGUAACUGCAAUGCAACAUUCGAUCUAUAUUGCAACAUGGCAAGAAAGUCCUCCUAGUAUUCUGAAUCCUUUGCAGGUUGCAGUUGGUUUUACAGCUGUAUGCAUUUUUUUCCUAGAUUUGACCUUCAGUCUGUCUUGCUUAUUGUGUCAGGGAACUCCUUUGGGCUGUCAGAUGUCUGGACCUCCUCUAUCACAGUGUGCCAGUUCCGCAGGGCAGCGUCCCGGUAUGUCCUGGCCUGAUGGCCACUGCCACUGGGAACUGGAUGCGAGUUAUCCGCUGUGCCCAGGGGCAAGGCGAAGGGGGAACUGGCGGCAGAGGUGUCUUUUUGUCUUGUCAUACCUCGGAUUAAAUGUGGCUGAACCAGAUUUAGUUAGCAGCAGAGUUUGGGGCUGGAUUCUAGCUUGCUGCCUGACCUGUUCUUCCCGUGAAAACGACUUCCCCCACAAGCUAACAAGUCUGGAAGCACGAGAAUCCAUCUAACGUCAUAUGUUACAGACAGCGCAUCUUUUUUGUCUGUCCUGAGCUGUGCAUCUUACCAUCUCAUCACCUAUAUUCUCUUCCUAAUGGUGCCUCAUUAAUAUUUUAGGCAUUGUGAUCCUUUAAGGCGCGUUUCUACAGGCGAAGCCAGCACAUACCUGUGACACCCUGAAGCCGGUCUGGCUGCUGAGGACGUUAUGCCAGAGAGCCUUGCGGUCCUCGCACAGUCCUGGUUCCUUACAUCUUAUCUGAGAGCCCUGCCCAGUCAACAGCAUGGAAUUCUGUUUAUCCAGCUCGGCAAGAUAAAGGCGCAAGUUGCAAGGGUUUAGACUGAUACUGCCAGGCUUUUCCGUAUUCCUGUGUGGAACAUUAAACCACUCCUGUUUGUAUUCUUUCAUCUCCAGGGUUUUGAACGGCUGCUUGUUUUUCACUUUAAUCACUUUGUUGGUUUACCUUAAACUUUUCCUCUUAAAACACUAAUCCAUGUAGGAUUAUUAAUUUGCUCAUUUUUUGAAUGAGCUUACUGUGAGAGUGAUUUUUAUCUGCUGUUUUGAGGUAAUGGGUAUAUAUCAUGCUGUUUUCUCUUGUAGUUUUCCCAGCAGUUUUUUUUAUUAGUUAGAACUGAAAUAGAGAUUGCUUUUUAUUUAUUUAUUUAUUUUUCCUAGUCUGUUUACUUGCUUUUGAACUUUAAUCCUCUAGACAGAAGUUCAGUUUUCUUGUUCGGAGCAAUGGGCCUUGAUUGGGGGUGUAACUAGCUUCGUCACUUGUAUUUUUUGCCUUUUUAUUCCCCUCAGGAAGUAUUCUGUGAUGUGUUUCUAAAUUGGAUUUUUCCUUCUUCAACAAAAAGUUUUUUCCCUCCUCUUCCUGGUAUAUCAAAUCUGGGAAAGAUUGCUUUGAUAGUUCUUCAUUCCUGGGGGGGGGGGGGGGUGGUCUACUGUCCUGCUCUUUCUUUGCCUUUAUUUACAUAGGCAGAGACCGAACUGUAUUGCAUUUCUCAUCAGAUGCAAUUUGACUUUACUGUUAUUCCUGCAGUUAUUUGAUGCAAUUUGGGAAACUCAUAAUAUACUCCUUUUAACUGAUUUCUGUUGGAAAUGAUUUUGCAAGCCUUCAGGACCGAAGAUUUCUAGAAUUCUGUUUUACUCUCAAGUCUUUUAGAUGUAUGCUAUAUAGUGAGGGCUUUGAAUCCUUUUGAGUAUUUCUUUUCUUGUCUGUCAGCUUCUGUUAGUCUUGCAGUAAACUUCAGUCCUAUCUUGGUAAAGUAAAUGCAUGCAGGUCAUUGUGUUGGGAGUCAAGUUAAUUUUUAUGCUCUUGUAAACACAAACAUUUCACAGUUUUAAUUGAUUUUUUUUUUUUUUUUUUUUUUUUUUUACUUCUGUUAGCUUAUUUAGCUCUUAGAAAAAUGUAUGAUUACUUAGACUCUCUAUUUUUGGGGGAAAGACAAUCUAAUUUGAAUGAAAUCACUGCUUUGGGGAAAGAGAAAGGAGGUGGCUUCUGCACUGGCUGGAUCAGCUGAGCUGAGCCUCCUGGGCAGUGGGAUAAGCAGAUUUUUUUUAUUCAGGUAGCUGGCACUCUUGGCAUGAUCUGAGGUACUUGAUAUUAGAAGUUGCUAGUCCUUUUAAGUUUGUGGGCUAUGAUAAAUCAGAUUGUCAUGUCAGGGAGCACGCUUGUUUGUUUUACUGCCUUGUGACUCUUCUGUUCUUAGAAGCAGCCCAGUUUGUCAUACAGUCCUGUCCGCUGCAUGCAGCAGUGGCUGCCCAGCCCUUUCUCUGCCUCGCACCUGACAAGUAAUGUGAGGUCCAUUUUGCCAUCUUCUCAGGUAUUUCUUAGUUGCAGUCAGUUUGGAGGGUAACACAACUUUGUUCAAGUCAACUGGAUGACUUUAGCUUUUCUGUAUAGAAUGAGUAUAAUCUUGUUGAAAUAACAAAUCAUCUAGACUGAUGUUCAUAUAGAGAAGUCAAUGUUUAAUAUUCAGUCUGAUGGUGCUGAGGAUUAGACGUUGAGCAUUAGAGACUAAAGAUACCUUGGUAUAUUGUGGCCUGAAUUAAAAGACCAGGUAGUGCCAAAUUUCUGGCUCCUAACAGCAAGCUUGAGAAACGACUGUAUGAUAAUCCCCUGCAUGACUAGUCAUGUGGAAUUUCAGAAUAUUCUUGCAAUAUUUAAAGGUACUUUACUGCCGACACAGUAUUCCAGGGGGAAGAUCAGUCUGCACUGACUCUGACAGAGAUUCAGCAACUACCAAAUUCGUCGUCUCUCUCCAGAGAAAAAGUUCCGUGUGCGACUGAAGGAGAACAAUAUGCUGUACUGCCAGUGUGGUACUGCUCUUGAUGGCGGUUGUAACAGAUCUGGGCUGUAGCUCUCAGUGCAUCAAAUACAGGAAGAUAAAAAAUGGGCCUCUUGGGCAAACAGUUACAUAGCAGAAUUCUUUGGCGCAAGAGCAUUGAAGCCAGAAGUUUCUUGGCGUUCUGACCGCAUUCCUUUUCCAGUAUGCGCUCAGAAUAACUCGGGACUUUUUGGAGCAGAAGUGGGACAAACUUUUGAAAGUAGAUACAAAAGUCUAGGCUCAGUUUAGCUGUUUGCUUGCAGCUUUGAAAAUGCAUUAGGUUUGAUAAAAUUGCUGCUUGGUAGGGGGCUGUAAUCCUUUUUCUCUGAUUUAAAGUAACUUAAAAAUUCUGUAAUGCUUAAACAAAACCAGAUGCUAUUGAUUAUGUUGUUUGUUCAUUUUGAAUGUUUUGCUUAUAUUGAGAGAGAGGAAAAGUUUCUGUACAUAUUGGUGGUACAGCAUAAAUGCAUUUGACCUUUUUUGGUCUUCAUAAGAAUUGCUUUGGUUUUGUAAUUGGGCUUCAGUGAAAGCCACAGUUCUGUGCUAUGCCUUAAAGUUUGAUCUGUUUUUGUUCACUUCUGUGACUUCAAAGUGGUUUUGUUUUGGGUUUCAGAUGGACUAAGAUUGCAUUUGUAGUACAAGCAAAAAUGCUUCCUGAAUUUGAGUUUGGUUUAUUCCACUCAAAAUUCUUUAAUCUUCCACUGGAAAUUAUAAAACUUGGUGGUGGAAUUAUAUUACACGUCUUCACGUGGGAUGUAUAAGACAAGGCCUCUGGAAAUGUGAUAUUGCACCAGCUCUGGUCUUGAGGUCAGAAGCACUGAAAGAAAUAAGAGCGAGGAGAGCUGCUCCUGGCUGCUGCGGGUGGCACCACGGGAGCCCUUUGAGGACGACGACGUGAGCAGCUGCUGCGAGGCACCGAGGGGAUGACCGUAUGGUCUUGGUGUUGCGCCUUGGUAGAUGCCCAUGUUCUCUUUUACAGUAAAUGUGUGGUGGCUUUUCCACAUGAGGAAGUGGGGUACAGCGUAACAGAAUGGGACAUGCCCACCUGUGCUGUUUCUGCCUGUGCCUUGGUUUACAUAGUGUCAGUGAAGUUGGUGUAAACUUGAAGAUGGGGAUUGAUUCUGAAUCAAAAAAUCGUUUCUGCUUGAGAGUAUGAAUUAGCCUGGGCAGGAAAAUGUAGAUAUUUACUCAGAUGGGAUGAGGUGGUGUCUUUUUCAAUAUUGUUUUUUGAAGGAGGUGAUUUUGCAUGUGUUGAAGGUGUUUCUGGGGGAAGUAAACAAGUGCAAAUCUACACUGGCAUAAUUCAACUGCAGAAAGUGUCUGUUCCAUUGUAAACACAGUAACCACUUCAGCGGAAAAUUCUGAAAUACACACUGCAAUCUGGAGGGAUGGGCAUUGUGGUUAAAUAUUAACACACAUAAAAACAUACAGCUGUUGGAAGUAUACCUCAGAGUGAGCUCUUUCUUCAUGUUAGCAUGUUGCGAGAUGGAUCUCUACCAGUCAAUGCCCAGGCUUUGUAUUCAGCCCUUCCACUUGUGACUAUGCGGUGUUUAGUAAACAUAACUGUCCUGUGUACUUUCUCAGAGGAGUACAGCCAGCAUAUUUUACAAUGUGUUUUAAAGCUGUCUAGGGAACAGGUAAUAGUAACAAUGAAAGGAUUAGCUUGGUCUUGAGAAUUUCAUUGAUUAAAAUUAUUCUUGGAAAUAUUCUAAUAAUAAGAACCAAGAUUCUAUAAUUUUUUAAUGUAAAGUAAAUGUCAAGAUAAUCUGACAUACGCAGUAUUAAGAACUGCAUCAAUAUUCUAUUCAAAAGCUCAUUUUUUUAAGAGGAUUUGAGGUUUCCAAUGUCUAAUUCUAGCCUACUUUAAUACUAAGAUCUUCCAACUCAGCAGUAUGUACUUCAUUGUCAGAGCAAUCAUGAGAUGCAUGCCAUCGCUGGGUGCCCUGGAGUGGCCUACUGUUGUUAUGCAAUGGACCAUGUGUUGUGGAAGGACAAAGGCUUCUUGAUAAAUUGCCUAUAAAAACUGUAUUUGGAAUAUUACGGUUUUGCCAUGUAAGUACCUAUGUACUUAGGUAUGUCCUUCCUUACAGCACCUGCAGUACAACAAAGUUUCGUAGCUCCUGGUUGCAGUUAUCUCAGCAGGACUACACAGUGUGAUGAACAGUAAAUUGGAAGAUGACUAGUUGAUUAUCUGUGUCUUGUAGAAGAAGGCUUAAUAGAAGAAGGCAUAAAGAAUAAAUCCAAAGAACAGCAUUGGCUUUGGAAAACUGUUGUCAAAAGUGUGUCUUUUGUAAAUUUCACUGUAAUGAAAUCCUAGUUAUGUCUGCUACAAAAA
Molecule: long non-coding RNA, 9219 nt
Organism: Oxyura jamaicensis (ruddy duck)
Lineage: Eukaryota; Metazoa; Chordata; Aves; Anseriformes; Anatidae
Exons: 2
Source: RefSeq, a predicted model, not a curated record